UACGUAGGGGGCUAGCGUUGUCCGGAAUCAUUGGGCGUAAAGCGCGUGUAGGCGGUCCGGUAAGUCCGCUGUGAAAGUCGGGGGCUCAACCCUCGAAUGCCGGUGGAUACUGUCGGGCUAGAGUGCGGAAGAGGCGAGUGGAAUUCCUGGUGUAGCGGUGAAAUGUGUUGAUAUCAGGAGGAACACCCAUGGCGAAGGCAGCAAACUGGGCAUCAACUGACGCUGAGGCGCGAAAGCGUGGGUAGCAAACAGG
Molecule: ribosomal RNA, 253 nt
Filed under: uncultured bacterium
Lineage: Bacteria
Description: partial 16S ribosomal RNA
Rfam family: Bacterial small subunit ribosomal RNA
Source: RNAcentral